GUAGGGAACCUGCGGAAGGAUCAUUGUCGAGACCCGAGCGGACGACUGUGAACUCGUAA
This 59-nucleotide ribosomal RNA is filed under the name Asparagus adscendens. RNAcentral's name for it is "partial 18S ribosomal RNA". The record is from RNAcentral. Lineage: Eukaryota; Viridiplantae; Streptophyta; Magnoliopsida; Asparagales; Asparagaceae.